AUGAUUGUAUGUGGAGAGUACGCGAAAGCGUCGCCGAAGGAGCAAGUAACAGAGGUUGCGAAUCUCUCAGGCAAAAAGACUCAUACAUGACG
Molecule: non-coding RNA, 92 nt
Filed under: Bacillus sp. (in: firmicutes)
Lineage: Bacteria; Bacillati; Bacillota; Bacilli; Caryophanales; Bacillaceae
Also listed under: 1 other name
Description: Bacillus sp. Glycine sequence
Rfam family: Glycine riboswitch aptamer
About the family: This family represents the bacterial glycine riboswitch. Glycine riboswitches usually consist of two metabolite-binding aptamers domains with similar structures in tandem.
Source: RNAcentral